CCCUUAGAUGUUCUGGGAUGCAUGCGCGUUACACUGAUUCGUUCAACGAGUUUAUGACCUUGCCUGAUGAGGUGGGGGAAUCUUUUCAAAUCGCAUCGUGAUGGGGAUAGAGUAUUGUAACUGUUAGUCUUCAACGAGGAAUUCCUAGUAAGUACGUGUCAUCAGCUCGUACUGAUUAUGUCCCUGCCCUUUGUACACACCGCCCGUCGCUCCUACCGAUUGAGUGCUCAGGUGAAUAGUAUGGACUGCAUCAGUGUUCGGUCUCCGAAUGUUGACGCGAGAAAUUCUGUGAAUCUUAUUGCUUAGAGGAAGGAGAAGUCGUAACA
This 326-nucleotide ribosomal RNA is filed under the name uncultured eukaryote. RNAcentral's name for it is "partial 18S ribosomal RNA". It matches the Rfam family "Eukaryotic small subunit ribosomal RNA", at positions 1470 to 1796 of the family's 1831-position model. The record is from RNAcentral.